RNAcentral lists this transfer RNA (71 nucleotides) under uncultured Candidatus Pelagibacter sp. It matches the Rfam family "tRNA". Rfam says of the family: Transfer RNA (tRNA) molecules are approximately 80 nucleotides in length. Their secondary structure includes four short double-helical elements and three loops (D, anti-codon, and T loops). RNAcentral also lists the same sequence under 3 other names. The record is from RNAcentral. Lineage: Bacteria; Pseudomonadati; Pseudomonadota; Alphaproteobacteria; Candidatus Pelagibacterales; Candidatus Pelagibacteraceae.
GGGGUGUAGCUCAGCUGGUUAGAGCGCCUGCCUGUCACGCAGGAGGUCGCGGGUUCGAGUCCCGUCACUCC